Fukomys damarensis (Damara mole-rat) is the source of this 105-nucleotide non-coding RNA. NCBI's taxonomy places the organism in Eukaryota, Metazoa, Chordata, Mammalia, Rodentia, Bathyergidae. The record is from Rfam.
ACCCUUUAAUGAUUCAUAAAUAUGAUGCUCGGGCGUUCAUGCCAUCACGUGAGUUGUGCCUCCCUUUAUACCUUGUUACAUCAUAAGCCCAUUAGCCGCUUGAAG